This is a long non-coding RNA of Cyprinus carpio carpio, 2693 nucleotides long. The record is from Ensembl. NCBI's taxonomy places the organism in Eukaryota, Metazoa, Chordata, Actinopteri, Cypriniformes, Cyprinidae.
GCGUACACAAGAUGAGGGUGCCUUUCUGCACCAUCGCCAUAUUUUUCUCUUUUCCUCAUUCUCACUGUGGAAGAGCAGAGGAUGAGAGCAUGUUUUCAGUUGUUAAGAUAUCAUUUAAAAUCAACAGACCAAAAGUUGAAACUAGUUGACUCCUUCAAAGAGAGAGGACCUUCAAAAUGAGAGCAGAGCGCAGUGUUAUCCAACGCGAGCUCUUCUUUGCUGCAGGCGGCUCCGUCCCAAACCUCAGCCCUAUCUUGAGUGAACAUCACACAGCCGAGAUGAAAAAGCGGGAAAUCGAUGCAGGGGAGCGCGCGCCAUGUAGAGAGCCUGGCUUUGCUUUGAUCGAAGGCUGACUGACAAGACCUUCAGCCCUGUGAUCUCCGGCAUGAUGAAGGACCGGAGCCGUGGUGGCGCAACAACGUGUGUUUGUUGUAUUUUGUGCGUUGUAGGUUUUGUGUAUUUGUGUACAUGUUUUUGAAAAAAAAAUAUUAGCUUCAAAACCUAGCGAGCCGCCUACGGAGCCGGCAUUUUAAAACUUCAUAGGCGCUCUUCUGACACAAAGUCUUUCUCAAAGGGUCGUCGCAAUUAUGCUGCCGCCUAAGAUACCUUCUUAAGGCCACAUUUUAAAGCGGAAUCACUAUGCUUUGCAUAAAAGACAAAAAAUUAUAAAUAAUAUACAUAAAUAAAAACUGGUUGUUAGUGUUAAAGGAAUAGUCCACCCAAAAAUUCUGUCAUCAUUUACUCAGUUUAAUUGUUUUGGUUCCCAUUGACUUCCAUUGUAUGGGCAAAAAUACUGUAGAAGUCAAUGGGAACCAAAACUGUUUGGUUACGAGCUUUUGUUGUUUUUUUUUUUGUUUUAUAAUAUCUUCUUUUGCGCUGAGCAGAAGAAUGAAAUGCAUACAGGUUUUGAACAACAUGAGGUUGAGUAAAUGACAGAUUUGAUCACUUUAACUAAAAAACUAUUAAAAUGAUUAAAAAUGUAAAUAAAGCUAAAAUAAAAUAUAAAUAUUAGGUGAAAAACAAACUUUAAAAAACAAAAAUUUGAAAUUAUGCCUUGGCUACUAACUGAAAUUAAAUAAGUUGAAGUUGAAGUAAAUUUAAUACAACUAAAAUUGAAAAUAUAAAUAAAUGAAAGCUAAAUUGGAAUUUAAAUAAAAAACUAGAUUUCUAAAACAAACAAGUUAAAAUGCGAACUGAAAAUAUAAAAUAAAAGCUAAUUUAAAAUACUAAUAUUUAUAUACUGUAAUAGUAUAUAAAUAAUACUAAAAAACAUGAAAAUUAAUCCAAAACUGGUGUAUGAGCUGAAAGAUAUUUUGAUUAUAAAUUAGCUUAUAGUUAAAUGAAAUUAAAAAAAAAUAUGCCUAUUAGCAAUUUACACUGCUUAGCAACAUGCUAAUGUCAAACUUUUGAAAUCAAUCGGCGGUUCUCCAGUUCAGAGUGCUGUUUGUGUUGCUUCUCUGCUGGGGAGUAGAUAUUGAGGCAGCUAGUCAGGUUUUGGAAUGCUUUAUUGUUUAGCCUGCAUAACAAAAAAUGUGUACACAAACACACAACUGGCACAGCCAGGCGGGUCAGGACAAGCCUGUACUCUCUCCUCUUGCCUUCCCUUUUCAGACAAGUACAGAGGGGGUGUGAGACAGAGGGCUCUGUCUGCAUCUAAAGCCUGCUGGGAAAGGCUGUACUCUCAUCUCCCACACAGCAGAAUGCAUAUGCACCAAAAUCCUCUUCACUUUAAAACAACCUUCCCCUUCAGCCUCCUCUGGUACUCCCGACGGGUCAUCACAUGAAGCGUGUCCUCUGGUCUACCUUUGCUGGGGAUGGUGACCUUCACAGAGGCUUGAGAGAUGCCUCGGACCAGAGCAUUGUGGGUACUCUAAGACUGAGUGACAUACACAGCAUGGAAGCACUGGCGAGGAGCUUUGCUGAACCUUGUGAUCCAUGUCACUGCCUCAAUGGGACACACACACCCGAUAUAAAUCCACUGACAUUACAGCGGAUUGAUGUUUAUAUACAAGAGUUUUCAGCUGAAAAGCUGCAUUACCACUGAAAGAGUGACCAUAAUGCAUUGUGGUUCAGAAGAUUCAUGUCUCUCUCUUCUGUGAUUUUUUACCUUCUGCCAAGCUUAAAGAAUGAAAUGAGAGAUUGUAGAUUACUGUAGAUGUCAGAUUUUGCUCCAGCACGCUAAAUUAACAGCUAAAGUAAACACUGUAAAGCUGAAUUGUGUAAUUUCUGUGCCAUUACUGGCAACAAAUAGAAUGGAAAAAGAUUACUCAUAAACACAUGUAUUUUUAAUUAUAUAAUGAUAUGUUUUUAUAAUUUUUUUAUUACACUACUGCUCUACAAUGGUGGGGUCAGUAAAAUUUUUUUGUGUCUCAUGCUCACCAAGGCUGCAUUUAUUUGAUCAAAAAUACAGUAAAAAUAGUAAUAUUGUGAUAUAAUAAAUAUAUGAUUACAAUUUAAAAUAACUCAAUUCUGUUUUCAUACAUUUUGAAAGGUCAUUUAUUCCUGUAAUGGCAAAGCUGAAUUUUCAGCAGUCAUUGUUUCAGUUUCCAGUGUCACAUGAUCCUUCAGAAAUUAUUCUUAUAUGCGAAUUUGGUGCUCAAAAAAAUUCUUAUGAUUAUCAAUUUUAAAAUGGUUAUGCUACUUGAUAUUUUUGUGGAAACUGUGAUAGCAUUUUUUUUUUCAGGAAUGAUGCA